GGACGACGCUGGCGGCGUGCUUAACACAUGCAAGUCGAGCGAUGAAAUUUCUCGGAAGUGGAUUAGCGGCGGACGGGUGAGUAACACGUGGGUAACCUGCCUCAUAGAGGGGAAUAGCCUUUCGAAAGGAAGAUUAAUACCGCAUAAGAAGUAGAAGUCGCAUGGCUUUAGCUUUAAAGGAGCAAUCCGCUAUAAGAUGGACCCGCGUUUGAUUAGCUGGUUGGUGGGGUAACGGCCUACCAAGGCGACGAUCAAUAGCCGACCUGAGAGGGUGACCGGCCACAUUGGGACUGAGACACGGCCCAAACUCCUACGGGAGGCAGCAGUGGGGAAUAUUGCACAAUGGGCGAAAGCCUGAUGCAGCGACGCCGCGUGAGCGAAGAAGUAUUUCGGUAUGUAAAGCUCUAUCAGCAGGGAAGAUAAUGACGGUACCUGACUAAGAAGCACCGGCUAAAUACGUG
RNAcentral lists this ribosomal RNA (461 nucleotides) under uncultured bacterium. RNAcentral's name for it is "bacterial SSU rRNA". It matches the Rfam family "Bacterial small subunit ribosomal RNA", at positions 33 to 507 of the family's 1533-position model. The record is from RNAcentral.